UACCCUAUAAAUCUCGAAAUACCAGCGAAGUGAUCAGCAACAGCAACUCCCUCUGGUGUUUAGGGCUUCUGUUUCACUCAAAAUCCCAAAGAAAUUUCGAGGUUCGUUUAGGGAGUCCAUGGCUUCAAAGGUAUCUUCGUUGCAGAAGGUGGUUCAGGCAUCGAACUUUCUAAUCAAGAAUGGAAAUAUCUAUUACAAGCAGUUGGUAGAGCAGAACAAGCACCAUAUCCAGGAGCCACCCACCAUUGAGAAAUGUCAAACUUUAGCAAAACAACUGUUCUAUACUCGUCUCGCCAGCAUUCCGGGUCGUUAUGAAGCAUUCUGGAAGGAAGCUGACUCUCUCAAGAAUGCACUAAUAAACAGGCAGGAACUGAAUGUGGAGAAUGCUGGUCUUGCUGCUCUGUUUGGACUUGAGUGCUAUGCGUGGUUCUGCGGUGGUGAGAUUAUAGGGAGGGGUUUCACCUUUACAGGCUACUAUGUUUGAGUGGCACUUCUUUAGGAAAAUAUCUAUUUGUUUUAGCUUUUGGAGAUUAGUACAUCCAAGUGGCUCUGAGAUUCUGAGUCAGCCAGACAUGGCUUCCGAAAUAAUUCAAUAUGAUUUCGUUCUGCUUCGAAAUUAAAAUACUCUUAGUGAUCAUCCCGCACCGAUGGAAUCAGAUGCAGCUUCUGAUAUCUGGUUGUAGAAUUUUUCCUAGAAUUUAUGCAGUUUACAAUCCAGUUGUUUAUAGUUCUCCCAAUGCAUUAUCAUCAGUCAUUGCCUAAGUUUGGGAUGAACUCAAAGAAUCGAAUCCACAUAAUGGAGCAUAUUUGUAGAUGGAAAAACAUUGAGGCUCCAAUUUGUAUCGUCUGGAUCAUACUC
Molecule: non-coding RNA, 859 nt
Organism: Prunus mume (Japanese apricot)
Lineage: Eukaryota; Viridiplantae; Streptophyta; Magnoliopsida; Rosales; Rosaceae
Source: RefSeq, a predicted model, not a curated record